UAGAAUUCCACGUGUAGCGGUGAAAUGCGUAGAGAUGUGGAGGAAUACCGGUGGCGAAGGCGGCCUUCUGGACAGAUACUGACGCUGAGAUGCGAAAGCGUGGGGAGCAAACAGGAUUAGAUACCCUGGUAGUCCACGCUGUAAACGAUGUCGAUUUGGAGUUUGUUGCCUAGAGUGAUGGGCUCCGAAGCUAACGCGAUAAAUCGACCGCCUGGGGAGUACGGCCGCAAGGUUAAAACUCAAAUGAAUUGACGGGGGCCCGCACAAGCGGUGGAGCAUGUGGUUUAAUUCGAUGCAACGCGAAGAACCUUACCUGGUCUUGACAUCCACAGAAUCUUGCAGAGAUGCGAGAGUGCCUUCGGGAACUGUGAGACAGGUGCUGCAUGGCUGUCGUCAGCUCGUGUUGUGAAAUGUUGGGUUAAGUCCCGCAACGAGCGCAACCCUUAUCCUUUGUUGCCAGCGAUUCGGUCGGGAACUCAAAGGAGACUGCCGUUGAUAAAGCGGAGGAAGGUGGGGACGACGUCAAGUCAUCAUGGCCCUUACGACCAGGGCUACACACGUGCUACAAUGGCGUAUACAAAGGGAGGCGACCUCGCGAGAGCAAGCGGACCUCAUAAAGUACGUCUAAGUCCGGAUUGGAGUCUGUAACUCGACUCCAUGAAGUCGGAAUCGCUAGUAAUCGUGAAUCAGAAUGU
This 695-nucleotide ribosomal RNA is filed under the name uncultured Gilliamella sp. RNAcentral's name for it is "bacterial SSU rRNA". It matches the Rfam family "Bacterial small subunit ribosomal RNA", at positions 662 to 1357 of the family's 1533-position model. Lineage: Bacteria; Pseudomonadati; Pseudomonadota; Gammaproteobacteria; Orbales; Orbaceae. The record is from RNAcentral.